AGACCCGAAACCCGGUGAUCUAGCCAUGGGCAGGUUGAAGGUUGGGUAACACUAACUGGAGGACCGAACCGACUAAUGUUGAAAAAUUAGCGGAUGACCUGUGGCUGGGGGUGAAAGGCCAAUCAAACCGGGAGAUAGCUGGUUCUCCCCGAAAGCUAUUUAGGUAGCGCCUCGUGAAUUCAUCUCCGGGGGUAGAGCACUGUUUCGGCUAGGGGGCCAUCCCGGCUUACCAACCCGAUGCAAACUGCGAAUACCGGAGAAUGUUAUCACGGGAGACACACGGCGGGUGCUAACGUCCGUCGUGAAGAGGGAAACAACCCAGACCGCCAGCUAAGGUCCCAAAGUCAUGGUUAAGUGGGAAACGAUGUGGGAAGGCCCAGACAGCCAGGAUGUUGGCUUAGAAGCAGCCAUCAUUUAAAGAAAGCGUAAUAGCUCACUGGUCGAGUCGGCCUGCGCGGAAGAUGUAACGGGGCUAAACCAUGCACCGAAGCUGCGGCAGCGACGCUGAUGCGUUGUUGGGUAGGGGAGCGUUCUGUAAGCCUGCGAAGGUGGCCUGUGAGGGUUGCUGGAGGUAUCAGAAGUGCGAAUGCUGACAUAAGUAACGAUAA
Molecule: ribosomal RNA, 608 nt
Filed under: Salmonella enterica
Lineage: Bacteria; Pseudomonadati; Pseudomonadota; Gammaproteobacteria; Enterobacterales; Enterobacteriaceae
Description: partial 23S ribosomal RNA
Rfam family: Bacterial large subunit ribosomal RNA
Source: RNAcentral